Molecule: ribosomal RNA, 240 nt
Filed under: uncultured bacterium
Lineage: Bacteria
Description: partial 16S ribosomal RNA
Rfam family: Bacterial small subunit ribosomal RNA
Source: RNAcentral
GAUAUGGCUCAGGAUGAACGCUAGCUACAGGCUUAACACAUGCAAGUCGAGGGGAAACGGACAUCGAAAGCUUGCUUUUGAUGGGCGUCGACCGGCGCACGGGUGAGUAACGCGUAUCCAACCUGCCCAUCACUUGGGAAUAACCUUGCGAAAGUAAGACUAAUGCCCAAUGAUAUCCCACGAAGGCAUCCGAAUGGGAUUAAAGAUUUAUCGGUGAUGGAUGGGGAUGCGUCUGAUUAG